This 292-nucleotide ribosomal RNA is filed under the name uncultured bacterium. RNAcentral's name for it is "partial 16S ribosomal RNA". The record is from RNAcentral.
GGACUACCCGGGUAUCUAAUCCUGUUUGCUCCCCUUGCUCUCGCGCCUCAGCGUCAGGUCUAAACUAGAAAGGCGCUUUCGCCACCGGUGUUCCUCCACGUAUCUACGCAUUUCACCGCUACUCGUGGAAUUCCCCUUUCUCCGUCAAUCCUCUAGAAAAACAGUUUCAAAUGCAGCACCAAAGUUGAGCUUUGGUAUUUCACAUCUGACUUAUCAAUCCGCCUACGCGCCCUUUACGCCCAAUAAUUCCGAUUAAUGCUUGCACCCUACGUAUUACCGCGGCUGCUGGCAC